GUUGACCUCGGAUCAGGUAGGGAUACCCGCUGAACUUAAGCAUAUCAAUAAGCGGAGGAAAAGAAACCAACAGGGAUUGCCUCAGUAACGGCGAGUGAAGCGGCAACAGCUCAAAUUUGAAAUCUGGCGCAAGCCCGAGUUGUAAUUUGUAGAGGAUGCUUCAGGGCAGCGGCCGGUCUAGGUUCCUUGGAACAGGACGUCGUAGAGGGUGAGAAUCCCGUAUGCGACCGGUGGGCACCCGUCACGUAGCUCCUUCGACGAGUCGAGUUGUUUGGGAAUGCAGCUCUAAAUGGGUGGUAAAUUCCAUCUAAAGCUAAAUACCGGCCAGAGACCGAUAGCGCACAAGUAGAGUGAUCGAAAGAUGAAAAGCACUUUGGAAAGAGAGUUAAAAAGCACGUGAAAUUGUUGAAAGGGAAGCGCAUGCAACCAGACUCGUCGGCGGCGUUCCGCCGGUCUUCUGACCGGUCUACUCGCCGCCGGCGGGCCAGCAUCAUCUGGGCGCGCCGGACAAAGGCGCGGGGAAUGUAGCUCCUCGGAGUGUUAUAGGCCCGCGCACAAUACGGCGCCGCCCGGGUGAGGUCCGCGCUCCGGCUAGGAUGCUGGCGUAAUGGUUGUACGCGGCCCGUCUUGAAACACGGACCAAGGAGUCUAACAUCUAUGCGAGUGUUCGGGUGUCAAACCCCUGCGCGGAAUGAAAGUGAACGGAGGUGGGAAGCGCGAGCUGCACCAUCGACCGAUCCUGAUGUCUUCGGAUGGAUUCGAGUAAGAGCAUAGCUGUUGGGACCCGAAAGAUGGUGAACUAAACUUGGCCAGAGCGAAGCCAGAGGAAACUCUGGUGGAGGCUCGCAGCGGUUCUGACGUGCAAAUCGAUCGUCAAAUUUGGGUAUAGGGGCGAAAGACUAAUCGAACCAUCUAGUAGCUGGUUCCUGCCGAAGU
This 936-nucleotide ribosomal RNA is filed under the name Teratosphaeria fibrillosa. Its description in RNAcentral is "eukaryotic LSU rRNA". It matches the Rfam family "Eukaryotic large subunit ribosomal RNA", at positions 1 to 967 of the family's 3401-position model. The record is from RNAcentral. Lineage: Eukaryota; Fungi; Ascomycota; Dothideomycetes; Mycosphaerellales; Teratosphaeriaceae.